Molecule: ribosomal RNA, 104 nt
Filed under: uncultured bacterium
Lineage: Bacteria
Description: partial 16S ribosomal RNA
Rfam family: Bacterial small subunit ribosomal RNA
Source: RNAcentral
UACGUUCCCAGGCCUUGUACACACCGCCCGUCACAUCAUGAAAGCCGGUUGUACCCGAAGCCGCCCCUAAAAAGGUGUCGAAGGUAUGGCUGGUGAUUGGGAUG